This 467-nucleotide ribosomal RNA is filed under the name uncultured bacterium. Its description in RNAcentral is "partial 16S ribosomal RNA". It matches the Rfam family "Bacterial small subunit ribosomal RNA", at positions 28 to 507 of the family's 1533-position model. The record is from RNAcentral.
GAUGAACGCUGGCGGCGUGCUUAACACAUGCAAGUCGAACGGAAAGGCCUCUGCUUGCAGGGGUACUCGAGUGGCGAACGGGUGAGUAACACGUGGGUGAUCUGCCCUGCACUUCGGGAUAAGCCUGGGAAACUGGGUCUAAUACCGGAUAGGACAAUGGUUUGGAUGCUGUUGUGGAAAGUUUUUCGGUGUGGGAUGAGCUCGCGGCCUAUCAGCUUGUUGGUGGGGUAAUGGCCUACCAAGGCGUCGACGGGUAGCCGGCCUGAGAGGGUGUACGGCCACAUUGGGACUGAGAUACGGCCCAGACUCCUACGGGAGGCAGCAGCGGGGGAUAUUGCACAAUGGGCGCAAGCCUGAUGCAGCGACGCCGCGUGGGGGAUGACGGCCUUCGGGUUGUAAACUCCUUUCGCUAGGGACGAAGCGUUUUUGUGACGGUACCUGGAGAAGAAGCACCGGCUAACUACGUG